Molecule: long non-coding RNA, 1224 nt
Filed under: Lupinus angustifolius (narrow-leaved blue lupine)
Lineage: Eukaryota; Viridiplantae; Streptophyta; Magnoliopsida; Fabales; Fabaceae
Description: long non-coding RNA (LANG_LNC000910)
Source: RNAcentral
UCUUAUUGAUCAUGAGCUGUGAGCUGAUUUGUUUGAGACCUUGAAAUGUAGUUGGUAACUUCGAUAGGCUGCUGCAUGGGAUAAGAGAAUGUUAUGAGCAACAAUGUAUGGUUCAAUGGACGAAUUCCCCUUCUCACACAUAAGAUAGCCCAGAAUGGAACAUCUUCCUGGUGCUUGAAUGACUAAAUCAUAAUCAUGGAUGGCGAAGUUAUGAGGUUCAUUGAAGGUAAUCUGGUGCUUAACUCGGUCGCCAAAAGCUUGGAAGCAGGUAUAAGCAUAAGGCUCAAAAUCUUUUUUGUAUGUAAACAAAAAUGAAUAUGAAGUUCCCACCCUUUGUCUCAAAAGGCCUAUAACGUUGGAAUAGCUUAGGUUAUUUGUGUGCAUAGCCAUCCUUUAUAUAUAUCUUAAAGCAUCUGUGGAAGAUCCCAAUGAUUAGAGAGAAUAACUAAAAUUUUAAUGCUUUUUUUCCUUUUUCGUAUUGAUCAUAAGUUGUGAGCUGAUCUGUUUGAGACCUUGAAAUGUAGUUAGUUGGUAACUUCCAUAGGUUGCAAAAUGGGAUAAGAGAAUGUUAUGAGCAAAAAGGGAGACACUGCAAACUGACAUGUAUGAGACUGUGGAGGUAACUGCAAUUGUAGUAAUGUAAAAUCAGGAUGGUAAAUGCAACAUAGAUGUCUUGUUAUGAUGACUCCUAACUACAAAUGCCAAAUGCAUUGUUAAUUUUUUAUUCAUAAUGUAAAUUCAGAAUGACAUAUUUGAGCUUUUUCACCCAAAAUGCAAUGACAGUUUCUAUAUUCCGGAUCUAGAUUUUGGAUUGCUUAUGUUUGAGCUUUAAUGGUAAUCCUAAUUGUAAUGGCAUUAUGAAUUCUUUAUUUAUAAUGUAAGUUCCGAAUGGUAUGACUUUUGAUGCCUCUAAUUGCAAAAUGGUAAUACAGAUUAAAUUCAUAAUCUAAAUUCUGAAUGGUAUGUAAGCCUUUACCAGGGAGUACCUUUUGGAUAUGUUUCUCCAUAUUAUGUAGUUUUUCAAUGGCAUGCCUUAGCAAACAUGUGGAUAAAUUUGGACCUCUAGUGGUGGUGUUCACUUCAGCAGGAAGGGGGGUAGCCCAACUUUUCUUCCAACAAUGUCAGUUGGAGAAUUGAAAUUGCAGUUUUAUUCAAUUACUUUGUAACUAUAAGUGUCAUGAGCGUAGCUUUGAAGACUGCAUAUUUGUAGGAGAUGGCUUUAAG